RNAcentral lists this unclassified non-coding RNA (4610 nucleotides) under Centruroides sculpturatus (bark scorpion). Its description in RNAcentral is "exostosin-3-like, transcript variant X2". Lineage: Eukaryota; Metazoa; Arthropoda; Arachnida; Scorpiones; Buthidae. The record is from RNAcentral.
UUCGCGAUGCACCCAAUUAAAUUAUGCCUUUUAUAAAUUUUAAAAAUAUUUUAAACGUGUAAUUGAUGUUUUUCUUUUUAUCAUUUCAAGAUGGCGACUUCCAUGGAUUUGUUUGAUUUUCAUUUAUUCCUAUCAAAACAUUGGAUAUAACUGUUUUAAACAAUUAAAGGAAGAUGUUAUUAUCUUGGACUUAUAUUUUAAGCAGGUGAAAUGGAAUGCAGAACUUGAGUUUUACAAAGGCAAAAUGAUCUAAUCAACAAUGACAACAAAUCUGCAUUUUCCAAAAUCUCCAUCAUUCUCCAAGUUACAGUGGAGAUGCUUGUUAACAAAGAAUGUCUCAGCAAAUCUUUCUCCACACAGCGGCAUAUAAACUUAGGUAAAAAUUGUUUGUCGGCGUGAAACAAGGAUGGUAGUUCACGAACAACCCACUUUUAAACAUUCUCUAUGUCACUGGAUUGCUGCUAUUAGGCUUUCUAGACUGAUAGCUUUGCUAUUGUUAGUUCUUGUGAUGGUUCCUUUAUUCACUCAUUACUAUCUUUCAAAGUUUGUGGGAGAUAACUCCACUUCAGAAAUUCAUCACAAAGGUAUACAAUUGGAUAGUCUGAUAUCUGUCAAGUCGACUGAUUUAAAAGUCAGAAUUGAAGAGAUGUUAAGGAUUAAAACCUCUGUCAGUAAUGAGCUGAGAGAUCUGGAGAGUCGAAGACAAAAGUUACAAACAGAAAUUGCAGUGUUGAGCCAACGUGUUGAAGAUUUAAAGGCAGAAUACAGUCACCAGCAAAUAGAAUUGGAAAGGUUAAGACUCUCUGUAGAACAAGCACAGUAUGCACAAAAGGAGAUGCUUGAGAAAAACACUCCCCAAAUAUCUGCACCCAGGAGAAUACUUCCGUCUGCUGCUGAUGUGAAGUUCAUCCCUCUCCCGUCUACUUCACUUGUUAAAAAUUGUAGAAUGCAUCUAUGCUUCGAUUUUUCUAGGUGUUCUGUUCUGUCAGAAUUUCCUGUGUACUUUUACCAUCCAGAUGAUUACAGACUUUCUUGGAACCAGUUGGAUCGUUUUGUUAAAAUUUCUGUGACAGAAGCUUUAAAUAUGAAUGUGCACAUAACAUUUGAUCCUACCAUAGCCUGUGUGUAUGUUGUAUUAGUGGGCGAAGUGCAACGCGGGGACCAGUCUAAGUCUGCAUUAGAGAACUACCUCAAAAAUCUUGCACAUUGGAAUGGUGAUGGUAGAAAUCACAUUUUACUGAAUUUAGCUAGGAACACGAAUGUAACAGAUGUGUUUUCCGGAGUCAACACUGGCCGUGCCAUACUUGUACAGUCACACUUUUCUGCCACUCAGUUCCGAGACGGGUUUGACAUUAUUUCCCCUCCUUUGAUUGGACCAGUGAAAGGAGAAGUCUGGGAAAAACUACUGCCUCAUUGUCCAAUUAGAAGAACUUACCUUUUAUCGUAUCAAGGAUUAUAUAGGACUAGACAGCACAAUAGCAUCACCCAAAGUAGAAAGUUGUUACAUAGUCAUGUCAAUCAAACAUUACCGGCUAGGAAGCUUUUUCAGGAUGAUGACGAUGAUGAUAUUGACUCCGGGGAUGAUUUUAUUAUUGAAUCAUUGAAAAGUAUGCAGUCUGGAUCAACUGAUGAUAAAUUUAAUUUUCAGUUUUCCUGUGUUGAUCAGAGUGUUUUCAAUACAGAAUGGUCUCUCUGUGAUAAUUCUGACUCUAGAGCAUCACUGCUGUCACAGUCAACAUUUGUCCUUAUUGUUGCAUCUACAGAUUAUCAGUUAAUAAGCACUAUUGAUUUGCAGUGGAGGUUGUUUGAGUCUCUCAAAUCUGGUGCCAUCCCAGUUAUAUUGGGUAAUCACGUUCAUCUCCCAUUCCAUGAGGUUGUAGAUUGGAACAAGUGUGCCAUGAUCUUACCAAAGGCUAGAGUAACAGAACUUCAUUAUAUUUUACGCACUAUUUCAGACUCUGACAUACUGGCCAUGAGAAGACAGGGAAGGCUCCUCUGGGAACGUUACAUGUCUACAACACAACAGAUAAUAAAUACAGUUUUAGCCAUAGCUCGCCAAAGAAUACAAAUACCUCCAAGUGCAGCACAGGAGGAGCCUUCACCGAGUGUUUUUAAUGCAACAUUCCAGCCACUGAAAUUAGAUGUGGCAGCCGUACAGGACUCUGAACCAGAAGAAAAUCUCGGCCCAUUAGAACCACCUCUACCCACCCCAAAAUUUUAUAGAAAUAUAACAUUCACAACAACUCAGCAAUACGAAAUAUGGAAUGAUUUAAUUGAUCCAUUCACCCUUUAUCCUUACACUCCUUUUGAUCCAAUACUCUCUUCAGAAGCUAAAUUCUUAGGAUCCGGGUUUGGAUUUCGUCCGAUCGGUCAGGGUGCAGGAGGAUCGGGAAAGGAAUUUAGCGAGGCACUCGGAGGAAACAUACCACGAGAACAAUUUACAGUUGUGAUGCUGACUUAUGAAAGAGAAGCGGUUCUGAUAGAUUCUCUUCAAAGAUUGCGAGGUCUGCCCUUUCUAAAUAAAGUGGUUGUGGUGUGGAAUAGUCCAAGACCACCAGCGUCUGACCUCCGCUGGCCGGAAAUCGGAGUACCCAUCCAUGUGAUUAAAGCAAAGAAAAACAGCUUAAAUAACAGAUUUCUUCCCUACGAUACCAUUGAGACCGAAGCAAUUUUAUCAAUGGAUGACGAUGCCCAUCUGCGCCACGAUGAGAUAAUAUUUGGAUUCAGGGUUUGGAGAGAAUCCAGAGAUAGGAUAGUGGGUUUUCCCGGGAGGUAUCAUGCAUGGGAUUCUCAGCACGAGAGCUGGUUAUACAAUUCCAAUUACUCUUGUGAACUUUCUAUGGUCCUUACUGGAGCCGCAUUUUUUCACAAGUACUAUUCAUACCUCUAUAGCCAUUGGAUGGCUCAAGCCAUUAGAGACAAAGUGGACGAAUAUAUGAACUGUGAGGAUAUAGCCAUGAACUUUCUUGUUUCACAUGUUACUAGAAAACCACCAAUUAAGGUGACGUCUAGGUGGACGUUUCGCUGUCCAGGUUGUCCCAUUUCCUUAUCUGAAGAAGACUCUCACUUCCAGGAGCGACACAAGUGUAUCAAUUUCUUCAUCAAGGUGUAUGGAUACAUGCCCCUGCUGAACACCCAGUUUCGUGUGGAUUCGGUGCUCUUCAAGACUAGAAUUCCCCACGACAAGCAGAAAUGCUUCAAGUUCAUCUGAGACCCCCUUUUUUCUCUCCAGGACGUAAAGCAAUAAUCAUCUCGGCAGACAUUUUUAUUUAUUCCUUCCUUGUAAAUAAUUUUGUCCCUUUCGGGGAAGGGGCGCGACCCCGACGCUCUUCUUUGCAAUGUAAUUAUUGACAAAUGCUGAAAUUUUUUGUAAAUAAAGCAGAGAAUGUGUGUGACCUCAUUCUUGCGUCACAGUUAGAUAAAUAGACGGACACGUUCGCUGUUUGCUAUUUUUAGCCACGCGAGCGCACGGCCUGAUUCAGUUUUCGUCACACAGUCGCGUGCUUGAUGUUCCCGCGCCCCAUCCAUCGCUGUGAAUGAACCCAGGUGAGGAAAAGAUGUGCGUGGCGUGAGACAACGAUUCGCACACUGGGCCCUACUUAGCACACGCAACAAAAUGGAAGACGUAAGUAUGUAAAAGUAGGCCCUUUUUAUGAUCGCACGCUAGGGCCUUCGGCUAGAUUCCAAAAUACUUUACGGUUGAUCCCUUUAGGUAUUUAGAAACAUUUUCGAUUUUCCACGCGCAUUAUAUGGGAACCCUGCUGUUAAAAUUAAUAAGGGGCCUGCCGGUUGUUUAUUAAGAAACGUGACGCUCCAGUGGAUCCAAACCGACAGUCUGUACAAAACAGAUGCCACCCUUUAAUGGAAGGAGAGAGGAAAAGGCCUCAUAACCGUGUCAUUGAGUCUCUAUAAUGUACUACUGUGCUACUUCUUCACUCUAGCAUGCAUCUGGUCAAUGCUACCGCAAAAACAAAAACAAUAGUAUCGGUGUUUCAUAAGAUCAUCCUGAAGCUCCUCCUAGGAGUUUCGUAUCUUUUAGAAAUCAGAAUGGUUCGAUUGUUCUUGCGAUUGCUUCGUUAUUUUCAUACAGCCCUCGUACACUUCAUAGUGAACGUCACCAUAUCUUUUCUGUGGUUAUUGCUUCAGAGAAUAGCUCUUAACUUAAGAGACCGCCUUAUGAAUUUACUUCAAGAAUGGGUCACGUGGUUGAUUAUGUUUAUAUUCAUUUACAUAUUUUACCGCGCGUUCCUGUAACGAAAUCGAAGGCCCGCGAUCAUAGAAAGGCCUUGAAAGUUACAGAACUGGUGAAUUUCUGUAGUUUUUGAAGCCUUUACAUGCGUUACAAGAGGGUAUUUUUGGUUGUGGUUUUGUGCGAGACCCUUGAUAAUGAAAGGAAAUGCGACACAUUGUUUGUCGAGGUCGAUUGUUUAAACUCGUAUCACGUGAAGGGGAAGAUUGGAUAAGCGACACGUGUCGAAAAUUGUUUUUUAUAUCAUGUGACGGAAGGAAAUGGCGAAACUCGAUGGUGACUCCAAAAAUAACGAAGGUCAAGCCCAAAAAAAUCGCACCGCAAGGUCAGGAUCGCGAAAAAACUUACGUAACUUUCACCU